Molecule: ribosomal RNA, 589 nt
Filed under: fungal endophyte
Lineage: Eukaryota; Fungi
Description: eukaryotic LSU rRNA
Rfam family: 5.8S ribosomal RNA (bases 229-382)
Source: RNAcentral
GGGACCUGCGGAAGGAUCAUUAUCUAUUCCAUGAGGUGCGGUCGCGGCCCUCGGCGGGAGCAACAGCUGCCGUCGGGCGGUAGAGGUAACACUUUCACGCGCCGCAUGUCUGAAUCCUUUUUUUACGAGCACCUUUCGUUCUCCUUCGGCGGGGCAACCUGCCGUUGGAACCUAUCAAAACCUUUUUUUGCAUCUAGCAUUACCUGUUCUGAUACAAACAAUCGUUACAACUUUCAACAAUGGAUCUCUUGGCUCUGGCAUCGAUGAAGAACGCAGCGAAAUGCGAUAAGUAGUGUGAAUUGCAGAAUUCAGUGAAUCAUCGAAUCUUUGAACGCACAUUGCGCCCCUUGGUAUUCCAUGGGGCAUGCCUGUUCGAGCGUCAUCUACACCCUCAAGCUCUGCUUGGUGUUGGGCGUCUGUCCCGCCUCUGCGCGCGGACUCGCCCCAAAUUCAUUGGCAGCGGUCCUUGCCUCCUCUCGCGCAGCACAUUGCGCUUCUCGAGGUGCGCGGCCCGCGUCCACGAAGCAACAUUACCGUCUUUGACCUCGGAUCAGGUAGGGAUACCCGCUGAACUUAAGCAUAUCAAUAA